AGGGUAGUAGUGCUUUAAGAAUCUGCCGUUGAUGUAGACCUCUUGUAUUAUGUAAGGUCCAUCCCACUUUGAUGUGAACUUUCUUUUUGUCUUGUGAGUUGUGAUGAUGGGCUUUGGUAAUGCCAAGACAAGAUCUCCAAUUUGGAAAGACCUUAGUCGAACCUUCUUGUUGAACGCCUUGGAUAGUCGUGAUUGGUAGCAUUCCAAGUGUUGUUGAGCUUCGAGCCUCCUUUCAUCGAGUGCUUCCAACUCUUGAAGUCACAACUUUGCGUUUUCCUCUUCAGUUAAGCCUUCUUGUACAACCAUGCUUAGUGAAGAG
RNAcentral lists this long non-coding RNA (319 nucleotides) under Malus domestica (apple). RNAcentral describes it as "long non-coding RNA (MDOM_LNC006884)". Lineage: Eukaryota; Viridiplantae; Streptophyta; Magnoliopsida; Rosales; Rosaceae. The record is from RNAcentral.